GGAUGUGAAGGCGAUCUGGCUGUGACAUCUGUCACCCUAUUGGUCGCCAGGGUUGAUUCAGCUGCACUGGCUGGCUAGUGUCCCCUUCCUCCCUCACUGCUCCUUGUGUGUCCCUCCAGAAGCUGCGUGCUCAGUCGAAGAGGACGACCUUCCCAGGUAGAGGAGGAUAGAGGAGGACCCUUCUUUGAUCAAGGGUAUAAGGGUAGCUGCGCUCCCCUGCUAGAACCUCCAAACAAGCUCUCAAGGUCCAGAGGAAAUUACCAGACUGGCGAAACCCUGAUCUCAUCAUUAGGAAUGUUCUUUGCCU
Molecule: unclassified non-coding RNA, 307 nt
Organism: Spermophilus dauricus (Daurian ground squirrel)
Lineage: Eukaryota; Metazoa; Chordata; Mammalia; Rodentia; Sciuridae
Gene: 7SK
Rfam family: 7SK RNA
About the family: 7SK was discovered as an abundant small nuclear RNA in the mid-70s but a possible function has only recently been suggested. Two independent studies have found that 7SK RNA binds the CDK9/cyclin T complex (known as elongation factor P-TEFb).
Source: Ensembl